UGCUCCAUCGCAUGUGUUGCUGCUGUCGCAGCGCCAUGCCCGCAGCCAGGGUGUCCAGGCUGCCGUGGGGUCCGCCCACGCCACCCGCCAGUUCGCCUCGGCAUCUCACCGGCGAACGCUGCCCACCGGGGCACCGAUGC
Regulatory RNA element from Bordetella ansorpii, 140 nucleotides. It matches the Rfam family "radC RNA". The record is from Rfam. Lineage: Bacteria; Pseudomonadati; Pseudomonadota; Betaproteobacteria; Burkholderiales; Alcaligenaceae.